This 407-nucleotide ribosomal RNA is filed under the name uncultured bacterium. Its description in RNAcentral is "bacterial SSU rRNA". It matches the Rfam family "Bacterial small subunit ribosomal RNA", at positions 355 to 776 of the family's 1533-position model. The record is from RNAcentral.
UGGGGAAUAUUGCGCAAUGGGCGAAAGCCUGACGCAGCUACGCCGCGUGGGUGAUGACGGUCUUCGGAUUGUAAAACCCUGUCGGGAGGGACGAAACAAAUGACGGUACCUCCCAAGAAAGCACCGGCUAACUCCGUGCCAGCAGCCGCGGUAAUACGGAGGGUGCAAGCGUUGCUCGGAAUCACUGGGCGUAAAGCGUACGCAGGCGGCCUGUUAAGUCGGGGGUGAAAGCCCAGGGCUCAACCCUGGAAUUGCCUUCGAUACUGGCAGGCUUGAAUACGGGAGAGGAGAGCGGAAUUCCUGGUGUAGAGGUGAAAUUCGUAGAUAUCAGGAGGAACACCGGUGGCGAAAGCGGCUCUCUGGCCCGAUAUUGACGCUCAUGUACGAAAGCGUGGGGAGCAAACAGG